This 253-nucleotide ribosomal RNA is filed under the name uncultured Rikenellaceae bacterium. RNAcentral's name for it is "partial 16S ribosomal RNA". It matches the Rfam family "Bacterial small subunit ribosomal RNA", at positions 524 to 776 of the family's 1533-position model. Lineage: Bacteria; Pseudomonadati; Bacteroidota; Bacteroidia; Bacteroidales; Rikenellaceae. The record is from RNAcentral.
UACGGAGGAUCCAAGCGUUAUCCGGAUUUAUUGGGUUUAAAGGGUGCGUAGGCGGAUUGAUAAGUUAGAGGUGAAAUGUCCGAGCUCAACUCGGGAACUGCCUCUAAUACUGUUGAUCUAGAGAGUAGAUGCGGUAGGCGGAAUGUAUGGUGUAGCGGUGAAAUGCUUAGAUAUCAUGAAGAACUCCGAUCGCGAAGGCAACAUACCGGCGCCCUACUGACGCUGAGGCACGAAAGUGCGGGUAUCGAACAGG